This 55-nucleotide non-coding RNA is filed under the name unclassified sequences. The record is from Rfam.
AUCGUUCAAUCUGUUAAUUCAGAUCGGAAGUAAGUUCAAACUGAAGGAACGCGGA